This 253-nucleotide ribosomal RNA is filed under the name uncultured bacterium. RNAcentral describes it as "partial 16S ribosomal RNA". It matches the Rfam family "Bacterial small subunit ribosomal RNA", at positions 524 to 776 of the family's 1533-position model. The record is from RNAcentral.
UACGUAGGGAGCAAGCGUUAAUCGGAAUUACUGGGCGUAAAGCGUGCGCAGGCGGUUAUGUAAGACAGAUGUGAAAUGCCCGGGCUUAACCUGGGAACUGCAUUUGUGACUGCAUGGCUAGAGUUUGGCAGAGGGGGGUAGAAUUCCACGUGUAGCAGUGAAAUGCGUAGAUAUGUGGAGGAACACCGAUGGCGAAGGCAGCCCCCUGGGUCAAGACUGACGCUCAUGCACGAAAGCGUGGGGAGCAAACAGG